Picea glauca (white spruce) is the source of this 135-nucleotide non-coding RNA. The record is from Rfam. Lineage: Eukaryota; Viridiplantae; Streptophyta; Pinopsida; Pinales; Pinaceae.
GUGAGCCUAGUGAUAGGAGACUAUCCAGCUCGGUUCGAAGAGCACUUGUUUACUACGAUUCAGGGUGAGCAGAGCGGUAAGAUAUUGAUUUGCUGCUCAAUGUUACGGCCUAAAUGUUGAACUAUCGACCCUAAU